AGGACGAACGCUGGCGGCGUGCUUAACACAUGCAAGUCGAGCGGUAAGGCCCUUUCGGGGGUACACGAGCGGCGAACGGGUGAGUAACACGUGGGUGACCUGCCCUUAGCUCUGGGAUAAGCCUGGGAAACUGGGUCUAAUACCGGAUAUGACUCCACGGUGCAUGUCGUGGGGUGGAAAGCCUUGUGCGGCUGAGGAUGGGCCCGCGGCCUAUCAGCUUGUUGGUGGGGUGAUUGCCUACCAAGGCGACGACGGGUAGCCGGCCUGAGAGGGCGACCGGCCACACUGGGACUGAGACACGGCCCAGACUCCUACGGGAGGCAGCAGUGGGGAAUCUUGCGCAAUGGGCGAAAGCCUGACGCAGCGACGCCGCGUGAGGGAUGACGGCCUCGGGUUGUAAACCUCUUUCAGCAGGGACGAUUGUGACGGUACCUGCAGAAGAGCCCCGGCCAACUACGUGCCAGCAGGCCGC
RNAcentral lists this ribosomal RNA (472 nucleotides) under uncultured bacterium. RNAcentral describes it as "SSU rRNA". It matches the Rfam family "Bacterial small subunit ribosomal RNA", at positions 26 to 518 of the family's 1533-position model. The record is from RNAcentral.